This 185-nucleotide ribosomal RNA is filed under the name Escherichia coli. Its description in RNAcentral is "partial 16S ribosomal RNA". It matches the Rfam family "Bacterial small subunit ribosomal RNA", at positions 1 to 179 of the family's 1533-position model. Lineage: Bacteria; Pseudomonadati; Pseudomonadota; Gammaproteobacteria; Enterobacterales; Enterobacteriaceae. The record is from RNAcentral. RNAcentral also lists the same sequence under 1 other name.
AAAUUGAAGAGUUUGAUCAUGGCUCAGAUUGAACGCUGGCGGCAGGCCUAACACAUGCAAGUCGAACGGUAACAGGAAGAAGCUUGCUUCUUUGCUGACGAGUGGCGGACGGGUGAGUAAUGUCUGGGAAACUGCCUGAUGGAGGGGGAUAACUACUGGAAACGGUAGCUAAUACCGCAUAACGU